CAUGCUGGCUACACGCAAUACAAAAGUAUACAAAAUUUGCUAUGUUUUCCGCAUUUUACAACAUUUCGCAACCAAGCUUUGCAAUGUUACUCAUUUUAGUAUGCUCUUUCUAGCUGUGGUGAUUUAUUUUCCUUGCCUAGUUUUAAAAUUAGUCUAUAAUGGGAAUUGUGUAUUCGAGAGCGGUUUGGGGCUUUGAGAUUGUUUGA
Paramuricea clavata is the source of this 206-nucleotide non-coding RNA. The record is from the annotation of a GenBank genome assembly. NCBI's taxonomy places the organism in Eukaryota, Metazoa, Cnidaria, Anthozoa, Malacalcyonacea, Plexauridae.